This 468-nucleotide ribosomal RNA is filed under the name uncultured bacterium. Its description in RNAcentral is "partial 16S ribosomal RNA". It matches the Rfam family "Bacterial small subunit ribosomal RNA", at positions 28 to 507 of the family's 1533-position model. The record is from RNAcentral.
GACGAACGCUGGCGGCGUGCCUAACACAUGCAAGUCGAACGGAAAGGCCCUGCUUCUGUGGGGUGCUCGAGUGGCGAACGGGUGAGUAACACGUGAGUAGCCUGCCCUUGACUUUGGGAUAACUUCAGGAAACUGGGGCUACUACCAGAUAGGAGGUCCUGCUGCUUGGUGGGGGUUGGAACGUUUCGGCGGGCGGUGAUGGACGCGCGGGUUAUCGGCUUGUUGGUGGGGUAGUGGCUUACCAAGGCUUUGACGGGUAGCCGGCCUGGGAGGGUGCACGGCCACAUUAGGACUGAGAUACGGCCCAGACGCGUACGGGAGGCAGCAGGCGGAAAUAUGGCACAGUGGGCGGGAGCCUGAGGCGGCAGCGCCGCGGGCGGGAUGACGGCCUGCGGGUUGUAAACCGCUUUCGCCUGUGACGAAGCGUGAGUGACGGUAAUGGGUAAAGAAGCACCGGCUAACUACGUG